GGGUUGGGAACAUCCCCUGCAGGAGGGCAUGGCAACCCACUCCAGUAUUCUCGCCUGAAGAAUCCCCAUGGACAGAGGAGCCUGGCAGGCUGCAGUCCAUGGGGUCGCAAGGAGUUGGACCUGACCCAGCGACUAAGCAUAGA
This is a long non-coding RNA of Cervus elaphus (red deer), 143 nucleotides long. RefSeq lists it as uncharacterized. NCBI's taxonomy places the organism in Eukaryota, Metazoa, Chordata, Mammalia, Artiodactyla, Cervidae. The transcript has 3 exons. The record is from RefSeq and is a predicted model, not a curated record.